UACGUAGGGUGCAAGCGUUGUCCGGAAUUAUUGGGCGUAAAGAGCUCGUAGGCGGUCUGUCGCGUCUGCUGUGAAAACUCGGGGCUUAACCCCGGGCCUGCAGUGGGUACGGGCAGACUAGAGUGCGGUAGGGGAGACUGGAAUUCCUGGUGUAGCGGUGAAAUGCGCAGAGAUCGGGAGGAACACCGGUGGCGAAGGCGGGUCUCUGGGCAAUUCCUGACGCUGAGGCGCGAAAGCGUGGGGAGCAAACGGG
This 253-nucleotide ribosomal RNA is filed under the name uncultured bacterium. RNAcentral's name for it is "partial 16S ribosomal RNA". It matches the Rfam family "Bacterial small subunit ribosomal RNA", at positions 524 to 776 of the family's 1533-position model. The record is from RNAcentral.